Molecule: ribosomal RNA, 253 nt
Filed under: uncultured bacterium
Lineage: Bacteria
Description: partial 16S ribosomal RNA
Rfam family: Bacterial small subunit ribosomal RNA
Source: RNAcentral
CACGUAGGGGGCGAGCGUUGUCCGGAAUUACUGGGCGUAAAGGGUGCGUAGGCGGUCUGUUAAGUCAGAUGUGAAAGACCUGGGCUCAACCCGGGAUGUGCAUCUGAGACUGGCGGACUUGAGUGCAGGAGAGGGAAGUGGAAUUUCUAGUGUAGCGGUGGAAUGCGUAGAUAUUAGGAAGAACACCAGUGGCGAAGGCGGCUUCCUGGACUGUAACUGACGCUGAGGCACGAAAGCGUGGGGAGCGAACAGG